This 449-nucleotide ribosomal RNA is filed under the name uncultured bacterium. RNAcentral's name for it is "bacterial SSU rRNA". It matches the Rfam family "Bacterial small subunit ribosomal RNA", at positions 354 to 796 of the family's 1533-position model. The record is from RNAcentral.
GUUUCGAAUCAUUCACAAUGGGCGAAAGCCUGAUGGUGCGACGCCGCGUGAGGGAUGAAGGUCUUCGGAUUGUAAACCUCUGUCACUGGGGAAGAAACGCUUUGAGUUAACAGUUCAAAGCCUGACUUAACCCGGAGAGGAAGCAGUGGCUAACUCUGUGCCAGCAGCCGCGGUAAUACAGAGACUGCAAGCGUUAUUCGGAUUCACUGGGCGUAAAGGGUGCGCAGGCGGCCAAGUGUGUGAGGCGUGAAAGCCCGGGGCUUAACCCCGGAAUUGCACCUCAAACUACAUGGCUAGAGCAUUGGAGAGGGUAGCAGAAUUCAUGGUGUAGCAGUGAAAUGCGUAGAUAUCAUGAGGAAUACCAGAGGCGAAGGCGGCUACCUGGACAAUUGCUGACGCUCAGGCACGAAAGCGUGGGGAGCAAAAGGGAUUAGAUACCCUAGUAGUCC